Long non-coding RNA from Daucus carota subsp. sativus, 537 nucleotides. RefSeq lists it as uncharacterized. NCBI's taxonomy places the organism in Eukaryota, Viridiplantae, Streptophyta, Magnoliopsida, Apiales, Apiaceae. The record is from RefSeq and is a predicted model, not a curated record. The transcript has 2 exons.
UUGAAAACUGGGCAAUUCGAUCAAUGCUGGGAAUCCUCAUCAUAUCAGAACAGCCAUGAAUAUGGCUGCUCUUACGAAGCUCUAUCUUGUAGCUACUGUAUUCCUCCUCUUCUCAAAUUACAGUGCUCGGUGCAUUUCUGCAUCCGCACUUGAUCAUCAAGGUUCCACAGAUGAGCUCAAGUCGAGGUGGUUUAGGGAUUGUGAAACCGGCCGAUACACAAAGCUCGAUCGUCUGAAGUGUCGAAAUGCAUUUAGGUUAAGAAACACGGGGAAAGCUCCUUGGUCUGAGAGCCUUAAAAAGGCCCUAUCGCCGCCACCAGCACCUGAUGUCAUGAGAGGUUCAUUACCUUCGGAAGAUGAUGCCCCGCCACCGCCAAGCACCUAACGAUGAAUUUAACGGCCAUGCAAUGUCCUUUAUCGUGUGUUUACAAGCUUACACUUCAAUUUACGUACUUAAAUUUGUUCAUAACAAGUGUAAGAUGUAAUUUUAAAAGUAUGUGUUAAUAAUAAUCAUGUUUUGUUUAGUUAUACAUAUAA